This 253-nucleotide ribosomal RNA is filed under the name uncultured bacterium. Its description in RNAcentral is "partial 16S ribosomal RNA". It matches the Rfam family "Bacterial small subunit ribosomal RNA", at positions 524 to 776 of the family's 1533-position model. The record is from RNAcentral.
UACAGAGGGGGCGAGCGUUGUUCGGAAUUACUGGGCGUAAAGAGCUCGUAGGCGGCUUGUUGCGUCAGCUGUGAAAACCCGCAGCUCAACUGUGGGCUUGCAGCUGAUACGGGCAGGCUUGAGUUCGGCAGGGGAGACUGGAAUUCCUGGUGUAGCGGUGAAAUGCGCAGAUAUCAGGAGGAACACCGGUGGCGAAGGCGGGUCUCUGGGCCGAAACUGACGCUGAGGAGCGAAAGCGUGGGGAGCGAACAGG